CUGGAGGUAUCAGAAGUGCGAAUGCUGACAUAAGUAACGAUAAAGCGGGUGAAAAGCCCGCUCGCCGGAAGACCAAGGGUUCCUGUCCAACGUUAAUCGGGGCAGGGUGAGUCGACCCCUAAGGCGAGGCCGAAAGGCGUAGUCGAUGGGAAACGGGUUAAUAUUCCCGUACUUGGUGUUACUGCGAAGGGGGGACGGAGAAGGCUAUGUUGGCCGGGCGACGGUUGUCCCGGUUUAAGCGUGUAGGUGUGUGUUCCAGGUAAAUCCGGUUCACUUUAACACUGAGGCGUGACGACGAGGCACUACGGUGCUGAAGCAACAAAUGCCCUGCUUCCAGGAAAAGCCUCUAAGCAUCAGGUAACAUCAAAUCGUACCCCAAACCGACACAGGUGGUCAGGUAGAGAAUACCAAGGCGCUUGAGAGAACUCGGGUGAAGGAACUAGGCAAAAUGGUGCCGUAACUUCGGGAGAAGGCACGCUGACACGUAGGUGAAGUGAU
Molecule: ribosomal RNA, 498 nt
Filed under: Salmonella enterica
Lineage: Bacteria; Pseudomonadati; Pseudomonadota; Gammaproteobacteria; Enterobacterales; Enterobacteriaceae
Description: partial 23S ribosomal RNA
Rfam family: Bacterial large subunit ribosomal RNA
Source: RNAcentral